This 843-nucleotide ribosomal RNA is filed under the name Cystobasidium oligophagum. Its description in RNAcentral is "bacterial SSU rRNA". It matches the Rfam family "Eukaryotic small subunit ribosomal RNA", at positions 822 to 1594 of the family's 1831-position model. Lineage: Eukaryota; Fungi; Basidiomycota; Cystobasidiomycetes; Cystobasidiales; Cystobasidiaceae. The record is from RNAcentral.
GCGGGGGCCCAAUUUUGGUUUGGUUUUCUAGGAUCGCCGUAAUGAUUAAUAGGGAUAGUUGGGGGCAUUCGUAUUCAAUUGUCAGAGGUGAAAUUCUUGGAUUUAUUGAAGACGAACUACUGCGAAAGCAUUUGCCAAGGAUGUUUUCAUUGAUCAAGAACGAAGGUUAGGGGAUCGAAAACGAUCAGAUACCGUUGUAGUCUUAACAGUAAACGAUGCCGACUAGGGAUCGGAUGAGGUUUUUAAUGACUCAUUCGGCACCUGAAGAGAAAUCUUUAAGUCAGGUUCGGGGGGGAGUAUGGUCGCAAGGCUGAAACUUAAAGGAAUUGACGGAAGGGCACCACCAGGUGUGGAGCCUGCGGCUUAAUUUGACUCAACACGGGGAAACUCACCAGGUCCAGACACGACAAGGAUUGACAGAUUGAUAGCUCUUUCUUGAUUUCGUGGUUGGUGGUGCAUGGCCGUUCUUAGUUGGUGGAGUGAUUUGUCUGGUUAAUUCCGAUAACGAACGAGACCUUAACCUGCUAAAUAGCCCGGCCGACUUUGGUUGGUCGCUGGCUUCUUAGAGGGACUAUCGACGUCUAGUCGAUGGAAGUUUGAGGCAAUAACAGGUCUGUGAUGCCCUUAGAUGUUCUGGGCCGCACGCGCGCUACACUGACCGAACCAGCGAGUUUAUUUCCUUGGCCGGAAGGCCUGGGUAAUCUUGUGAAAUUCGGUCGUGAUGGGGAUAGAGCAUUGCAAUAAAAAAGAAACAAACAAACCAUCCCCAAACCUCCCUCCCCCUCCCUCCCCCCUCUCCUUUUUGCUUCUCCUUCGUCCCCCCGUUCAGGCCCCCGCGCCCGG